UCAAAAACAUGUCCUUUUGUUUAUAUAAAAGGUCUGAUCUGCUCAAUGAUUAUUUAAAUAGCUGCAGUAUUUUGACUGUACAAAGGUAGCAUAAUCAUUUGGUCUUUAAUUGGGAUCUAGCAUGAAGGAUUGGACGAGAUACAUACUUUCUUUAUUUUUUAAAAAAAACUUAAUUUUUAAGUGAAAAAUCUUAAAUUUAUUUAUAGGACGAGAAGACCCUAUAGAACUUUAUAUUUAUGCUAUUUAUAUAGUUUUUGCUAAUAUAAUUAUACAUUUUUUAUAAAUAUUUUGUUGGGGUGACAGAAAAAAUUUAAUAACUUUUUUUAUAUUUUUUACUUAUGGGUAAUUUUAUGAUCCUUUAUUAAUGAUUAAAAGUUUAGUUACCUUAGGGAUAACAGCGUUAUUGUCUUGGAGAGUUCAUAUUAAUAAGGCAGUUUGCGACCUCGAUGUUGGAUUAAAAUAAGUUUUAGGCGUAGAAUUUUAAUUACUAGGUCUGUUCGACCUAUAAUUUUUUACAUGAUCUGAGUUCA
RNAcentral lists this ribosomal RNA (530 nucleotides) under Dicyphus josifovi. RNAcentral describes it as "partial 16S ribosomal RNA". It matches the Rfam family "Archaeal large subunit ribosomal RNA", at positions 1899 to 2682 of the family's 2987-position model. Lineage: Eukaryota; Metazoa; Arthropoda; Insecta; Hemiptera; Miridae. The record is from RNAcentral.